This is a long non-coding RNA of Amphimedon queenslandica, 490 nucleotides long. RefSeq lists it as uncharacterized. The transcript is spliced from 2 exons. The record is from RefSeq and is a predicted model, not a curated record. NCBI's taxonomy places the organism in Eukaryota, Metazoa, Porifera, Demospongiae, Haplosclerida, Niphatidae.
ACACUGAUAGCAAUCUUCUCUCAACUGUAAGGCAAAAGCAGACGAGUCUGAGUUCAUGAUGUCACCAUUUAAAGUCCAAAGCAAUGUCGAUGGAUUACAGCGUCCACUGACCAGGACAGUUUGGUUGGGAGUAAAGCUUCCAUCUCCAGUUACGUUGACUCUAGCGACUACAGUGGUGGUCCUCGCUAAAGAGUUGCAUAACGCCAGAGCGAUUUAUUGGAGGACAAAACUGAGCAGCUACUUGAUAUUGAAAUUGAGCUAGGAUCAGCCCUUGAGCUAAAAGAGACAAAAGUAAAAGGUUUGACAUAGCUAGGCCAAAUAGAAGUAGAAUCCACAGCCUUCACUUCUCCUUUAAUAUAUCUUGCAAAUGAGUUCACACCUAUAUAAUGUAGAUCUACUACCCACGCCAUAGAUUUCUUUUAUUAAAAAAAUAAUGAAGUUCAUCUAAAACACCAUCAACAUGAACAAGUGAGUCUUCCACAACACAAAA